Molecule: long non-coding RNA, 1037 nt
Organism: Daphnia magna
Lineage: Eukaryota; Metazoa; Arthropoda; Branchiopoda; Diplostraca; Daphniidae
Exons: 5
Source: RefSeq, a predicted model, not a curated record
UCUUUAUACGGUAGCAGUUGAAGACGCCAGUACUGUUUUUGUAUCUAGUCAAGAACAGUCACAUCGUUCGUUUCCGCCUCUUUCCAGAAUAUUCUUCAGCCUUUUUUUUCAGCACUCUCGUGAAAAAUCAUGCAAUCGAAUAACCGACCAUCGUCAUACGGAAGUAGUCCCGCAAUUCGGUUGGAAUGUGUAGUUCCUAUACUCAGCCCUACAGUGUGCAAAAAUCGGCAGUGGAAAAAAAUGUGCUCAUUGUGCUGAUCUGCACAAUGCCAAAUUCAUGACUACACAGUAUUAGAAGACUCUUCUCUUAAGGACAUUUGUAGCUGUGGACUUUCUUUAGAUGACUCUUUUAUCGUAAAUAUUUUCCUGCUUGUUGGAACAAGGAACAUAGGAUGUCUUGAGGCCAACCAAGUGUCAUCGGAAAGAUUGUAAAAAGAUGUUUAAGCAGGAAAAACCUAAAGUUGGAGGACGAUACAUUUGUUUCUCCUUACUAGUUUUGUAAAACAAAUGAGCUCUGCAUCAGAACGACACACUGGGGAGGUCUUGCAAACAAAGAGAGCCAUUUUCGUUGAGACACAUGAUCCCUUUUACAGUAGACACGUGAUUUUAAUCUGCUGUCCAAUGAAGCAAAGCAGCAAAAUAAUUCUAUAUAAAUUUAAAAAAUGCCAUUUUUGUUAUACCUGUUUGGCUUUGUAAAAGUGAUACCAAUUUACAACGCAGUCGUGCCCGCUGUAAAUAUCAUCUAUCACCCAUGGCUUUGUGGAUGGGUGGCUGCCUGGGAAGCUGAAGAUUUGGAAUCAAUCUCCACAAGGAGAAAGCCCAUUACCCAAAGGCAUGUGAAAUGGCGAUGCAUGCUUUUUCGCGACUGGGUGUGUCGCGGCAACCUUGUUUUAGCACUGCCAACUAAGAUUAUUUUGUGAAAUUCUUGUUUUAUUUCAAUUGCGUACGUGAUUUACGUCUCAACUAAUUUCAUCUUUUAUCAUUUAAUUCACCCUAACCGCCUUUGAAAAUAUGCAAUAAAAUACGCGUCCUGUGUA